GACGAACGCUGGCGGCGUGCUUAACACAUGCAAGUCGAACGGAAAGGCCCUGCUUUUGUUGGGUGCUCGAGUGGCGAACGGGUGAGUAACACGUGAGUAACCUGCCCUUGACUUUGGGAUAACUUCAGGAAACUCGGGCUAAUACCGGAUAUGAGCUCCUGCUCCAUGGUGGGGGUUGGAAAGUUUCGGCGGUUGGGGCUGGAUUCGCGGCUUAUCCGCUUGUUGGUCGGGUAGUUGCUUACGAAGGCUUUGACGGGUAGCCGGCCUGAGAGCGUGAACGGCCACAUUGGGACUGAGAUACGGCGCAGAAUCCUACGGGAGGCAGAAGGGGGGAAUAUGGCAGAAUGGGCGGAAGCCUGAUGCAGAAACGCCGCGUGCGGGAUGACGGCCUUCGGGUUGUAAACCGCUUUCGCCUGUGACGAAGAGUGAGUGACGGUAAUGGGUAAAGAAGCACCGGCUAACUACGUG
Molecule: ribosomal RNA, 468 nt
Filed under: uncultured bacterium
Lineage: Bacteria
Description: partial 16S ribosomal RNA
Rfam family: Bacterial small subunit ribosomal RNA
Source: RNAcentral